This is a long non-coding RNA of Lactuca sativa (garden lettuce), 2637 nucleotides long. RefSeq lists it as uncharacterized. Lineage: Eukaryota; Viridiplantae; Streptophyta; Magnoliopsida; Asterales; Asteraceae. The record is from RefSeq and is a predicted model, not a curated record.
GACACGUGUCUCCUUUCGAAUUCCUUUAUGUUUAUGCAAGCCUUGAUUUUCCGUCUGCCUCUCUUUCUACCAUCUAUUUGUUCUUCCGCCUUCCACAAUCCGCCUUUUCUUCUCCGCUAUCAAUCUACACAUCAACGCAUCCCCUCUCUUUGUCUACGUACAUAUACAUAGCAGUUGCCACCAUCGUUUGCCUCCAAGUGUUGAAAGAAGAUGGAAUUAGGUCGCUCCCGUCUUAUUGAAGCCUCGGUUUGUCGUUUGCUUAUCCGCUUUUGUAUACUAGGGCAUAGAUAACCAGAAGCGACCACCAUGAAUGAUCGACCCCUACCACGACCAUUGUUGACUCCUACUUAUCGUUCAAAUCAAAAGUUAUCCUCUAUUUGUCUCUCACCACCGUUACUAUAGGGUGGUUCUUCUCGCAUUGGAACCGACAGCUUCCCCUCCCUAGUACGUCUUCAACGUCCCUGGUUUCUAUUGACGUUGCCUUCUUCCCCCAAAUUCUUAUUGUGGGUUUUGCUUGGUGGUGUCAGACGACAAGAGGAUCAAAUUGAAGAUUAACAAAUAUGCUUUCCCACCAACGUCAACCCUUACUCGCUUCUAAUGCUUCCCUCUUCUAAAAAAAUAUGGUAACAAAAACACGCACCGGCACAAUAUUUUUUCUCGAUGAAUAUAAAUUCAAGUGGUAGAUUAUGGAGAAGGGUGAUAGUAACAUCGUUUGAAUCAUUGCCAAAGGAGUUGUUUCAACUUUCAAUGUCUUUACAAGUUGUUGGUCAAGGUAAUGAAUUUGAAUUUGCAUUUGUUUUAAAUUCCUUACUCGAUUGUUUAAUUUUGGUUCAAUUUCUUCUCGAUAAAUUUAGUCUUUGGGGUUUUUGAUGCUUUGAUGAUGUUUUCAAGUCGGAUGUUUGACUAUGUCUUACAUGUGUAUGAUAAAACACCUAAGAGGGAUCAAAAUUUAAGGGAAUCCUUAUUCUAUUAUAGAAAUUUAGGUUUUUUUUUUUUGAAGUUUAAUUUCCUUAUAUCUUUACUAAGGGUUCUUUUUUCAUUGGGACACUACAAGAAGCUAUCAAGAGACAUGUAUGAGGUUUGGAUAUAGAACUGAUUCCAUGUUUCAUUUCAUUGUAACUCCUCAAAAAUUAUGCUGCAAUUAGAGGGACUUACAUGAAACUCUAAUGAGGAAGACAUGCCAAACACGUAAACCUUAAAUAGGGCUGCUGGAGUUGUCUGUGAUGGAAUAUUUGGUAGAGAUGUAUGAGUGGUCUGGAUCAAGUUGGGAACCAUACCCAUACGAUGCAAAUGCAGUUCAAGUCCAGUUCUACUUCUGCAUGAUGAGCCUUUAUGUAUUGAAGACCAUAUCCACUAAUAAUAAGGUUUUGGAUACAGGCGGAUUCUUGCAAACUUUAGGUUAUGAAAUGUGGCCUCCAUUGUUUUUGAAGAAAAUGGAGGAUUAUGUCAACAAUCCCGCAAAUAUGCAUCAUUUUAGUUUAAUGAAUACGAAAACCUUUGUGAACCUAAAAGGCUCUGGCGGUAACAUAUGGGAAGUAUUUGAAGUUUUAGAUGAUGCCCGACGUGCUAUUUUCAGAAAUACCAUCUUUGGCUAUUUUAUUGAUGUCCCUCGUUUACAAGGGAACGCUUUAUUGUUUCAUAAAAUGUUCUUUCAUCAGAUCCGGCCGGACCCUGUUUUAUCUCCAGAUGGAAUAAAACGUUUAUAUUUUCGAGUAGGCAAUACCAAAAUGGUUUAUGGGCCGGAAGAGUUUUGUUUGAUUACCGGCUUCAAUUUUGGGGAGUAUCCAAAAAACAUUGGGAGAAAAGGGUCGGAAAAAUUAAUAAGCGGUAAAAAAAGAUGUUUACUGCGUGAAAGGCUAUUUCCGGACCAUACUAAUAGUUCGGUGAAAAUCGGCGACCUGAAAAGUUUAAUUUUAAAUCAAACAUUCCUAGCACUUGACGACUUUGAUGCAGUUAGAGUAUGUUUGAUAUACAUUUUGUGUGAAGGUUUUUGGGCAAAGAAGUUAAUGAUCGGGUGCCACAAGAUUGGUUUAAUUUGGCUGAGAAUUUGGAUCUCUAGAAUAGCUUCGCUUGGGGUAGCUAUCUCUGGGAUUUUACUUAUGUUGACCUUGAGGAUACAUGGAAUAAGAUACAUAAUUAUUUAUCACUUCCUGAGCGUGGUCAAACUUUAAAGUAUUCCGUCUCAGGAUUUACGGCUCCAAUAAGGGUAUAAAAAUUUUCUUAUAUUUAAAUUGUUUUAUUGUUAUGUUUUUUAUUUUAAUUUUAACUUUUAUUACUGUAAUUGUAAAAAAUUGUAGAUAUGGAUAUAUGAGAUGAUUCCGGCUGUUCGUGCAUGUGGAUUUGCAUCGAGAAAAAAUAAAGACUUGCCUCGGAUGAAAAGAUGGAGUGGAACAAAAAAAUUGAAAUGGGUUGACGUGAACAAGAUUUGGUCAAAGAUGCAGGAGGGGCUACCACCAAGACAAAACAUGAUGAGUGUGAGGAAAAAUGUUGGCAACGGAUGUUGCUAUAGAUGGAGACCUAUCAGAUAUAAUUGUAAGCUCCUGCAUAUUUCCUAUGCAAUCACGUAGUUUUUGAAAAAACCAUGUCCAAGAAUCAGUACACUCAUUUUUGCAUAUACCAUAUGCAACCGGUAAUAUU